RNAcentral lists this ribosomal RNA (441 nucleotides) under uncultured bacterium. RNAcentral describes it as "bacterial SSU rRNA". It matches the Rfam family "Bacterial small subunit ribosomal RNA", at positions 36 to 524 of the family's 1533-position model. The record is from RNAcentral.
CUGGCGGCAUGCCUACACAUGCAAGUCGAACGAGACCUUCGGGUCUAGUGGCGCACGGGUGCGUAACGCGUGGGAAUCUGCCCUAUGGUUCGGAAUAACAGUUAGAAAUGACUGCUAAUACCGGAUAAUGUCUUCGGACCAAAGAUUUAUCGCCAAAGGAUGAGCCCGCGUAAGAUUAGCUAGUUGGUGGGGUAAAAGCCUACCAAGGCGACGAUCUUUAGCUGGUCUGAGAGGAUGAUCAGCCACACUGGGACUGAGACACGGCCCAGACUCCUACGGGAGGCAGCAGUGGGGAAUAUUGGACAAUGGGCGAAAGCCUGAUCCAGCAAUGCCGCGUGAGUGAUGAAGGCCUUAGGGUUGUAAAGCUCUUUUACCUGGGAUGAUAAUGACAGUACCGGGAGAAUAAGCCCCGGCUAACUCCGUGCCAGCAGCCGCGGUAAU